GGGGAUGUAGCUCAAUGAUAGAGUACUUGCUUAGCAUGCAAGAGGUCCUGGGUUCAUUCCCCAGUAUCACUG
RNAcentral lists this transfer RNA (72 nucleotides) under Ictidomys tridecemlineatus (thirteen-lined ground squirrel). RNAcentral's name for it is "Spermophilus tridecemlineatus (thirteen-lined ground squirrel) tRNA". It matches the Rfam family "tRNA". Rfam says of the family: Transfer RNA (tRNA) molecules are approximately 80 nucleotides in length. Lineage: Eukaryota; Metazoa; Chordata; Mammalia; Rodentia; Sciuridae. The record is from Rfam by way of RNAcentral.